CGGAACAUAGCGCAGCUGGGUAGCGUACCAUCUUGGGGUGAUGGGGGUCGUGGGUUCGAAUCCCGCUGUUCCGA
This 74-nucleotide transfer RNA is filed under the name Dendrolycopodium obscurum. RNAcentral's name for it is "tRNA-Pro". It matches the Rfam family "tRNA". From Rfam's summary of the family: Transfer RNA (tRNA) molecules are approximately 80 nucleotides in length. Lineage: Eukaryota; Viridiplantae; Streptophyta; Lycopodiopsida; Lycopodiales; Lycopodiaceae. The record is from RNAcentral.